This is a non-coding RNA of Mobula hypostoma (lesser devil ray), 130 nucleotides long. NCBI's taxonomy places the organism in Eukaryota, Metazoa, Chordata, Chondrichthyes, Myliobatiformes, Myliobatidae. The record is from RefSeq and is a predicted model, not a curated record.
GUGGAUAUUCUCAACUGCUACAUUAUCCAGCUGAUAUGAUGUAGCUGGAAUAUACCACACAGAUUAAGAUGGUUCUCACCGACAGGCCCUGUGGAGUUAGCAGGGUUUCUGUGCGAUGGUUCCUAACAUC